Molecule: transfer RNA, 69 nt
Filed under: Hyphantria cunea (fall webworm moth)
Lineage: Eukaryota; Metazoa; Arthropoda; Insecta; Lepidoptera; Erebidae
Description: tRNA-Ile
Source: RNAcentral
AAUAAAGUGCCUGAUUAAAGGAUUAUUCUGAUAGAAUAAAUUAAGUAAAUUAUUAUAUUACCUUUAUUA